CGGCCGCGUCGACUGACGGUACCAGAGGAAUCAGCAUCGGCUAACUACGUGCCAGCAGCCGCGGUAAUACGUAGGGGCAAGCGUUAUCCGGAUUUAUGGGUUUAAAGGGAGCGCUAGACGGGAGAUUAAGUCAGCUGUGAAAGUUUGGGGCUCAACCUUAAAAUUGCAGUUGAAACUGGUUUCUUGAGUGCGGUUGAGGUAUGCGGAAUUCGUGGUGUAGCGGUGAAAUGCUUAGAUAUCACGAAGAACUCCGAUUGCGAAGGCAGCAUACCAAGCCGUAACUGACGUUCAUGCUCGAAAGUGUGGGU
This 308-nucleotide ribosomal RNA is filed under the name uncultured Bacteroidota bacterium. RNAcentral describes it as "bacterial SSU rRNA". It matches the Rfam family "Bacterial small subunit ribosomal RNA", at positions 457 to 766 of the family's 1533-position model. The record is from RNAcentral. Lineage: Bacteria; Pseudomonadati; Bacteroidota.